Molecule: ribosomal RNA, 756 nt
Filed under: uncultured bacterium
Lineage: Bacteria
Description: bacterial SSU rRNA
Rfam family: Bacterial small subunit ribosomal RNA
Source: RNAcentral
ACGAACGCUGGCGGCGUGCUUAAUACAUGCAAGUCGAGCGAGGUUACUGUUUUGGAUCCCUUCGGGGUGAAGAAGCUUUAACCUAGCGGCGGACGGGUGAGUAACGCGUGGGUAACCUACCCCAAAGUCCGGGAUAACAGCGGGAAACCGCUGCUAAUACCGGAUGCCUUUACCUUGGGGCAUCUUGAGGUAAAGAAAGGUAACGCUUUGGGAUGGGCCCGCGUCCCAUUAGCUAGUUGGUGAGGUAACGGCUCACCAAGGCGACGAUGGGUAGCCGGCCUGAGAGGGUGGACGGCCACACUGGGACUGAGACACGGCCCAGACUCCUACGGGAGGCAGCAGUAGGGAAUAUUGCGCAAUGGACGGAAGUCUGACGCAGCGACGCCGCGUGAGCGAUGAAGGUCUUCGGAUCGUAAAGCUCUGUCCUUGGGGAAGAAGGUCUUCGGACUUGACGGUACCCAAGAAGAAAGCCCCGGCUAACUACGUGCCAGCAGCCGCGGUAAUACGUAGGGGGCGAGCGUUGUCCGGAAUUACUGGGCGUAAGGGGUGCGUAGGCGGCCCUUUAAGUCGGAUGUGAAAGCCCGCGGCUUAACCGCGGAAUGGCAUUCGAAACUGGAGGGCUUGAGUGUCGGAGAGGGUAGUGGAAUUCCCAGUGUAGCGGUGAAAUGCGUAGAUUUUGGGAGGAACACCAGUGGCGAAGGCGACUACCUGGACGAUAACUGACGCUGAGGCACGAAAGCUAGGGGAGCAAACAGG